AUGAGGUAGCCAACACUGUUUUUAUAUAUAUAUAUAUAUAUAUAUAUAUAUUUUUUUUUUUAUUUUUUACUUGAGGUAGCCCCCAAAAUAUUGGGACAUAUAAAAAAAAGCAACUCUGUUCCGCAGAGUAGCUGUUGACAUUAUAGUUGCGCAGGAACUUUGUUGACUCUAGAGAACCUCGGGCAAAACGCACAUGCCCGUGGCGGCAACGACUUUGCAUGCAGAUGUCAUCCAUAUCAACUGUCGAUGCCAGUUUCUGCGCCUACCAUGGUGACCACGGAUAAUGGGGAUUCAGAGUUCCAUUCCGUACAGGAACCCUGAGAAACGGCUACCACAUGCAAGGAAGGCA
Molecule: ribosomal RNA, 349 nt
Filed under: Pelobates cultripes (western spadefoot toad)
Lineage: Eukaryota; Metazoa; Chordata; Amphibia; Anura; Pelobatidae
Description: SSU_rRNA_eukarya
Rfam family: Eukaryotic small subunit ribosomal RNA
Source: RNAcentral